UGAAUGUUUAAUUUAAAUUUUCUUGUUUAGUAUGCAUGAUUAGGGUUAAGUCUGUCCGAUUCGCUUCGGAACCUAAUGUGCACUCAGGUUACUCGGGUCAUCCUACGUGGCCGGAUAUAGGGUGUUACAUUUACCAAGGAUUCUUUAGGCUACUAUUUCUUUAAUGUCAAUUCAACGAGCAUUGCUUUUUCUGAGUGCUUUUGGGAGAAAUAGUUUUCAAUGCAUAGAUGUUUAUUCUAUGUUUCACAGAUUUGAUGGCUUUACAAGCACAUUCCAAGAUAAACUAUUCAAAGGCUAUAAUAUGGAAAUACACAACCAGAUAUUCUACACGACAUUGUGUUCUUGCGUUCUCAGCUUCACAGGUCUGGUAUUACAGGGGCAUUUACUUCCAGCUGUAGAUUUUGUUUAUCGCUGCAAUGACUGUUUUCUUGAUAUUGUAUUACUCUCAACUGUAAGUUAUCUUUUGCCAAAACUGUUCCUAGUCUUAAUAGGCUUUAACUGAUGAUGGUCAUCGACUCAUGCUCAUCUUUAAUUGUCCACGACUAAUCAAGAAGUACCACGAGGAUCUAAAGUUUAGGGAUUAUCUGUUAUAGGUAGCAACAACCAGUCAAUUCUCAUUUCUUACACGAUCCGUAAUUUCGGUGCUCUCACAUUUGCUGCCAUCAUGACCACAAGACAGCUGGUUAGCUCUUGCUGUCAUGCAUCUGGUUCGGCCAUCCCCUUAGCUGGGAACAAUGGAUGGGGCAGUCAUCGUAUUUGGCUCCUUGUAUGCUAAAACUUGUGGAAAAAACGAUCAUCAGCCCCCUCCUCCACACAAACAGAAACGAAGCUUCAAGUCCCGAGAAAGUGAUCCCUUAACGUCUUCUGGUCAAGUUUUACACUAGUAACUGCUGCAACUAAUUCUAUUCUGGUAUGAGCUUGCCUAUGUUAAAGCUGCAUUUUGAAGGUUGUGUGAGGAAGUGUGUUACAAAAGAUUUUUAACGAAAUUUGAUGUGAAACUUCAUAGAUGAUGGACUAAAAUUUGGGGGGAAAUGAGAAUAGAUAAACUACGUGAACUACAAGCCAAGUAAAGUCCAAAUACUCUUUCAUUUAUUAAUUGUUUUUUGUUUACAGCAGUAAU
This is a long non-coding RNA of Hibiscus syriacus, 1120 nucleotides long. RefSeq lists it as uncharacterized. The transcript has 4 exons. The record is from RefSeq and is a predicted model, not a curated record. NCBI's taxonomy places the organism in Eukaryota, Viridiplantae, Streptophyta, Magnoliopsida, Malvales, Malvaceae.